Molecule: long non-coding RNA, 416 nt
Organism: Dermacentor andersoni
Lineage: Eukaryota; Metazoa; Arthropoda; Arachnida; Ixodida; Ixodidae
Source: RefSeq, a predicted model, not a curated record
AUUUAUUACUAUAGUAUUUACUUCAAUUCUAUUUCAGGACUCUCCAAGCUCACUGCUUGUUCGAAAAAGGAUAUAGCAACCCACCUCCAUCGGAGCUAGCCCACCAAGAGAAUCUAAAAAUUCAGAAAAAGAGAAUGAACUUGUGCCAAGUGAAACUGAGCACUGGCCAGAAUGUUCGGCGCAUUGAGAGCAUCAGUCCCUGCUAUUUUCGUUGUAUAGCUACCUACACAACGAAAUCCGAAGUCCGUCUUCAAUUGUACAUGCACGAUUCAGACGGCACCCCCUGUAAGGAUGCCGAUGCUUCGAAGAUAUGCAAGGCCCGAAAAUGCCAGUAAGGAUUAUUGUAACUCCUCUCAAUUAGAGAUGAAAAGAUUCGAAUGCACAUCUUCCUCAUGCUUUAAAAACGAACAUACAAA